AGUCAAUAGAUACCCUGGUAGUCCCAGCUGUAAACGAUGCGCGUUAGGUGUAUCGGUGACCACGAGUCAUCGAGGUGCCGAAGGGAAACCGUGAAACGUGCCGCCUGGGAAGUACGGUCGCAAGGCUGAAACUUAGAGGAAUUGGCGGGGGAGCACCACAACGGGUGGAGCCUGCGGUUUAAUUGGACUCAACGCCGGGCAGCUCACCGGAUAAGACAGCUGGAUGAUAGCCGGGCUGAAGACUCUGCUUGACUAGCUGAGAGGAGGUGCAUGGCCGUCGUCAGUUCGUACUGUGAAGCAUCCUGUUAAGUCAGGCAACGAGCGAGACCCACGCCAACAGUUGCCAGCAUGUCCUGG
RNAcentral lists this ribosomal RNA (357 nucleotides) under uncultured bacterium. RNAcentral's name for it is "bacterial SSU rRNA". It matches the Rfam family "Archaeal small subunit ribosomal RNA", at positions 725 to 1080 of the family's 1478-position model. The record is from RNAcentral.